AUCAGCUUUCUAAUAUAACUUUUCAUUUUUAUCCAUUUCGAUUAUUCCCUGUCUUUCUACAACUUCGGACAUUUUCGUUCGUUUUCGGGCAUCAUCGUUUCUCCGUCGAUAAGGAUCGGCUUUACCAUUGAAAAAGUACGCGUGGCGCGUGGACGAUCGUAUAUGUAUAUAAGAUCGAGAUCGCGAGUAUGUCGGCUCUUUUCAUUCAGUGAAUCGCGACGAACCCUGUUGAUGUUACGUAAGGCUUCGUAUUAUAUGAGAGAGACCUUGGUCGUAGAUUACGUCAUCAGUGUAUCGCGAUGCAGCAACUAUUGCCGUCUUCAGGGUGACGCUCGCUGUUAGUCUCGCAAAUUACGUCUCGUACGCAUGUUUGUCUUUUUCUUUUUUCUCGUCAGUUCGUCACUCGCCAUUGCUCCCGCGUCUUGCGAUGGACUCCCUUCUAGAUUAACGUUUCGUUUGUUUCGAGGAAACUCUGUGGAAAAGAAUGCUGGAUCGCGUUUCCCUUUCGUUCGAUAUUUACGAAAUACAAGCCAGUAGAAAUAUAUGUAUCUCGGACGAAAAGGGUCUUGCUACGAGAGAUGGCCGAGACGAUAAAAAGUAAGGAGGAAACGCGCAAAAACUCGGUUAACAUUAACGCGACGGUGCUUCUCGCGCAAGGACGUCGACUGUAUCAUCGCUAAAAGCGUCGCCAACCGGUUCCACAAGAACCGCAGGUUUAUUCGAUUGUUAAUCGCGAACGACGAAGAUAAGAGACUUUCCGCGCAAUAUCCGGUCAUCGAGCGAUCAAUCAUCGACAAGCGCAAUCCUUAUUUGCAUUUCGAUGGAAAGGAACGAUCGCAUUUGUGUUAAAUUGUGCUCUAAAUCGGCUUAGGUCAGCGAUUCUCAAUCUUUUGUACUAAUAAAUGUG
Long non-coding RNA from Apis florea (little honeybee), 907 nucleotides. RefSeq lists it as uncharacterized. NCBI's taxonomy places the organism in Eukaryota, Metazoa, Arthropoda, Insecta, Hymenoptera, Apidae. The record is from RefSeq and is a predicted model, not a curated record.